AUACGGAGGGUGCAAGCGUUAUUCGGAAUCGCUGGGCGUAAAGGACGCGUAGGCGGGUUGGCAAGUCAGAUGUGAAAUCCUACAGCUUAACUGUAGAACUGCAUUUGAAACUGCUAACCUAGAGUAUGGGAGGGGGAGAUGGAAUUAGUGGUGUAGGGGUAAAAUCCGUAGAUAUCACUAGGAAUACCGAAAGCGAAGGCGAUCUCCUGGAACAUAACUGACGCUAAGGCGUGAGAGCGUGGGGAGCAAACAGGAUUAGAAACCCUAGUAGUCC
This 274-nucleotide ribosomal RNA is filed under the name uncultured bacterium. Its description in RNAcentral is "partial 16S ribosomal RNA". It matches the Rfam family "Bacterial small subunit ribosomal RNA", at positions 523 to 796 of the family's 1533-position model. The record is from RNAcentral.